RNAcentral lists this ribosomal RNA (497 nucleotides) under uncultured bacterium. RNAcentral's name for it is "partial 16S ribosomal RNA". It matches the Rfam family "Bacterial small subunit ribosomal RNA", at positions 28 to 507 of the family's 1533-position model. The record is from RNAcentral.
GAUGAACGCUGGCGGCGUGCCUAAUACAUGCAAGUCGAGCGAACAGAUGAGGAGCUUGCUCCUCUGACGUUAGCGGCGGACGGGUGAGUAACACGUGGAUAACCUACCUAUAAGACUGGGAUAACUUCGGGAAACCGGAGCUAAUACCGGAUAAUAUAUUGAACCGCAUGGUUCAAUAGUGAAAGACGGUUUUGCUGUCACUUAUAGAUGGAUCCGCGCCGCAUUAGCUAGUUGGUAAGGUAACGGCUUACCAAGGCAACGAUGCGUAGCCGACCUGAGAGGGUGAUCGGCCACACUGGAACUGAGACACGGUCCAGACUCCUACGGGAGGCAGCAGUAGGGAAUCUUCCGCAAUGGGCGAAAGCCUGACGGAGCAACGCCGCGUGAGUGAUGAAGGUCUUCGGAUCGUAAAACUCUGUUAUUAGGGAAGAACAAAUGUGUAAGUAACUAUGCACGUCUUGACGGUACCUAAGCAGAAAGCCACGGCUAACUACGUG